UAUCCCGCACCAAGCGCAACUCUUUGUCCUUAGUUGCAUCAUUCAGUUGGGCCUCUAAGGAGACUGCGUAAAAUACGGAGGAGGUGGGGAUGACGUCAAUCAUCAUGCCCCUUAUGACCUGGGCUACACACGUGCUACAAUGGACGGUACAAACGGUCGCGAAGUCGCGAGACGGAGCCAAUCCGAAAAAACCGUUCUCAGUUCGGAUUGCAGGCUGCAACUCGCCUGCAUGAAGCCGGAAUCGCUAGUAAUCGCGGAUCAGCAUGCCGCGGUGAAUACGUUCCCGGGCCUUGU
RNAcentral lists this ribosomal RNA (294 nucleotides) under uncultured bacterium. Its description in RNAcentral is "partial 16S ribosomal RNA". It matches the Rfam family "Bacterial small subunit ribosomal RNA", at positions 1083 to 1384 of the family's 1533-position model. The record is from RNAcentral.